Molecule: ribosomal RNA, 237 nt
Filed under: uncultured bacterium
Lineage: Bacteria
Description: partial 16S ribosomal RNA
Rfam family: Bacterial small subunit ribosomal RNA
Source: RNAcentral
GAUCAUGGCUCAGGAUGAACGCUAGCGGCAGGCCUAACACAUGCAAGUCGAGGGGCAGCACGUUGUAGCAAUACACUGGUGGCGACCGGCGCACUGGUGCGUAACGCGUAUGCAACCUACCCAUAACAGGGGGAUAACACUGAGAAAUUGGUACUAAUACCCCAUAACAUCAGGACCGGCAUCGGUUCUGGUUGAAAACUCCGGUGGUUAUGGAUGGGCAUGCGUUGUAUUAGCUGG